GGGGAAGGGGGAAGGCUGGCGCUGGGUUGGAAAUAGAAGCCGUCCGGGAGGGGAUGGUGAACACAGUAAGGGACAGCAAAUACAUUUCCUCAACGCUGUUGGUUUUUUCCUGUCAACUCAAGACUUUUCUCUCUUAUUUCUCAGAUUUUAUGUGUUUGGGUCCUUGCUCAUAUUCUCAUGAAGUUGUGGAAUGCAGUUCAGUUCAUCACACUCAACAGACCUUAUCGGAACCCGCUGUACCCAGAGUGCCAUUCAAAGGGAUUCCCACCCGGAAUAAUGCCAUGCUGGGGAAGGAGGAAGGACAUUCUGUUUCCAAACUGAGUCAGUCUGGGCCUUCAAGGGACUGUGGGAAUGUGGAAAGCCCUGAGCAGCUGCUGGAGUUCCCACCUGGCUGCAGGGGGCUAAGAAGCCGGGCAACUGACAACAUCAGCAAAUCCCAAAGUAAUUUCCAGCUGGUUUGGAACGCAGCUGCUUUGACCUCCUAA
This 485-nucleotide long non-coding RNA is filed under the name Mustela putorius furo (domestic ferret). RNAcentral's name for it is "lncRNA (ENSMPUG00000024151.1)". The record is from RNAcentral. Lineage: Eukaryota; Metazoa; Chordata; Mammalia; Carnivora; Mustelidae.